This 506-nucleotide ribosomal RNA is filed under the name uncultured bacterium. RNAcentral's name for it is "partial 16S ribosomal RNA". It matches the Rfam family "Bacterial small subunit ribosomal RNA", at positions 29 to 523 of the family's 1533-position model. The record is from RNAcentral.
AACGAACGCUGGCGGCAGGCCUAACACAUGCAAGUCGAACGGUAACAGAGGGAAGCUUGCUUCCUUGCUGACGAGUGGCGGACGGGUGAGUAAUGUCUGGGGAUCUGCCUGAUGGAGGGGGAUAACCACUGGAAACGGUGGAUAAUACCGCAUAACGUCGCAAGACCAAAGUGGGGGACAUUCGGGCCUCAUGCCAUCAGAUGACCCCAGAUGGGAUUAGCCAGUUGGUGAGGUAACGGCUCACCAAAGCGACGAUCCCUAGCUGGUCUGAGAGGAUGACCAGCCACACUGGAACUGAGACACGGGCCAGACGCCUACGGGAGGCAGGAGUGGGGAAUAUUGCACAAUGGGCGCAAGCCUGAUGCAGCCAUGCCGCGUGUAUGAAGAAGGCCUUAGGGUUGUAAAGUACUUUCAGCGGGGAGGAAGGGUGUGAGUUUAAUACGCUCAUGCAUUGACGUUACCCGCAGAAGAAGCACCGGCUAACUCCGUGCCAGCCGCCGCGGUAA